RNAcentral lists this ribosomal RNA (723 nucleotides) under Bursaphelenchus abruptus. Its description in RNAcentral is "eukaryotic LSU rRNA". It matches the Rfam family "Eukaryotic large subunit ribosomal RNA", at positions 381 to 944 of the family's 3401-position model. Lineage: Eukaryota; Metazoa; Nematoda; Chromadorea; Rhabditida; Aphelenchoididae. The record is from RNAcentral.
AAGAGAGUGCAAGAGAACGUGAAACCGAUACAAUGGAAGCAGAUGGAGAUGACGUAUCUAGUGCGUAUUCAGUCGUCUGAUCGUGUGAUCGUCGACUUCGGCAUUCCGCAAGGUUGUCGUGGUUGGUGUUGUUAUGCGGUCUGGCGAUGCAGUUACGUACAGAGUGCGCCGAGUCAGUUGAUUUCGUUUGUUUAAGCUGGUCGAGAGGAUGCGUUUCGGCGUAAAACCUUGACUGGUGGAGACCAAUUGAUAUUAGCUGGUUUGUGUGACAUGGGUUUUUCGCGGUGAUGCGUUUUUUUCGUAUCGGAUUGAGUUGUGCGCAUGCGUACUACUCUUUCUGUUGCGGAUUGGACGUUGUCGUUGCACUACGUCCUUCUCGGUGUAUAGUCAUUCACCCAUUUGACCCGUCUUGAAACACGGACCAAGGAGUUUAUGGUGCACGCGAGUCAUUGGGCUUUGCAAACCCAAAGGCGUAAUGAAAGUGAGAUAUUAUUUGUUUGAAUGUGAGCGGUUGCUGUUUCGGCGGCUUCUGCGCAGCAUUGUCCCAUUUCGAGGACUUGUCCUGUUGUGGAGACUGAGCGUGUGCUAUGAGACCCGAAAGAUGGUGAACUAUGCCUGAACAGGAUGAAGUCAGAGGAAACUCUGGUGGAAGUCCGAAGCGGUUCUGACGUGCAAAUCGAUCGUCUGAUUUUGGUAUAGGGGCGCAAGACUAAUCGAACCAUC